GGAGUUUAUGACCAUUGGAUCUCGACAGAGAAUCAAUGCUACUCAAGGUAGUAUAACUAUUAAGCUUGAUGGUAGUGAAAUCAACAAAGUCGAUACUGUUAAAUUCUUAGGAGUACAUAUCGACAAACACCUUUCUUGGUCAACCCAUACUGGGAAAUUAACUAAGAAAAUUGCUUCAGCCAUUGGGGCAUUAAAACGUAACAUUAGACCAUUUGUAAGUACGAGAAUUGCU
Non-coding RNA from Paramuricea clavata, 232 nucleotides. The record is from the annotation of a GenBank genome assembly. Lineage: Eukaryota; Metazoa; Cnidaria; Anthozoa; Malacalcyonacea; Plexauridae.